RNAcentral lists this ribosomal RNA (452 nucleotides) under uncultured bacterium. RNAcentral describes it as "bacterial SSU rRNA". It matches the Rfam family "Bacterial small subunit ribosomal RNA", at positions 64 to 507 of the family's 1533-position model. The record is from RNAcentral.
GAACGGUAGCACAGAGAGCUUGCUCUUGGGUGACGAGUGGCGGACGGGUGAGUAAUGUCUGGGAAACUGCCCGAUGGAGGGGGAUAACUACUGGAAACGGUAGCUAAUACCGCAUAACGUCUUCGGACCAAAGUGGGGGACCUUCGGGCCUCACACCAUCGGAUGUGCCCAGAUGGGAUUAGCUAGUAGGUGGGGUAACGGCUCACCUAGGCGACGAUCCCUAGCUGGUCUGAGAGGAUGACCAGCCACACUGGAACUGAGACACGGUCCAGACUCCUACGGGAGGCAGCAGUGGGGAAUAUUGCACAAUGGGCGCAAGCCUGAUGCAGCCAUGCCGCGUGUAUGAAGAAGGCCUUCGGGUUGUAAAGUACUUUCAGUGGGGAGGAAGGCGAUGAAGUUAAUAGCUUCGUCGAUUGACGUUACCCGCAGAAGAAGCACCGGCUAACUCCGUG